RNAcentral lists this unclassified non-coding RNA (1001 nucleotides) under Dendronephthya gigantea. RNAcentral describes it as "uncharacterized LOC114517300, transcript variant X3". The record is from RNAcentral. Lineage: Eukaryota; Metazoa; Cnidaria; Anthozoa; Malacalcyonacea; Nephtheidae.
GGUAUGUCGCUUAUGCGAGAUUAUAUAUACUGGCUUGCGAAGCACUGUUGUUGUUUUGUCAUGUAAAGAAAGCAUGUUUUCUUCCCCACAAUAAACCACCUUAUAUGUUUGGAAGAUUUGGAAAUACUGUAUGUAGCUAUAUCAGUGAAAACUGCGGAUAUUCCUGGUCAUAACACCGAUAUUUGACUGCCUCCUUAUAUAUAACCUAAGUACCAGACAAAUCCUCCAGUACGGAAAGUACAAGUCCACUUUCGGCAGAAACAUCAACGGAAGUACCCAAAAUAACUGGUAAAUUUCCAAAAGCCACCCUCUCUCCUACCGCGACACCCUUGGUGGGGUACCCUUCUGUUGUACCCAAAGGUGAAGUGAACGAGGAUGAACCUGACAGUAAUGAUAUUACUGCUAAAAGUUCUCGCGCACCAGCAUGGCUUUAUAUCGUUGUGUCGGUUACUUCUCUAUGCGCGAUCACGUCCGUGAUUUCCCUGGUGUUAUUGCUACGAGCGCGGAAGAGAUCUAAAAUACGGAAUCGAGGCGAAGUUGGAGGAGAUGAAAGAGAGGAGGAAUUUCCUUUACACGAGAUUCCACCUGAAAACGAUGCGGAAGGACAACGUUUACAACCAAACGACGAAGAAGACCAGCGUUUACCAGCAAAUGCUGAUGAGGAACAAGGACUUCUACAGCCCGAUAAUGGCGGAGAGCAGAAUCCACGAAGGCAGAAUCACGAGGAACUGGGUUUGCAGCCGACUGAAAGGUAUUUACACUGGCCUAAUCCCGAUGUUGAGGAAUAUGUGGCACGUCAGGAAACCCAGCCUCCUGUUCAGUGCUGUACUUCAUCUAGGCCUACUUCAACGAUAUCAGGAAGUCAAGAGGAAGGGAAUUCAUCAUCUCUGAACAUACAGGCUGAAGUUGAAAAUUAGGACGAUCCAUUGGAGAUACACUACUUUAUUUUUGCUGUACAUAUUUUGUAUAUUUAGGGGGGGUUAGAUUUAUAUUAAUUAAAU